Molecule: long non-coding RNA, 536 nt
Organism: Manis pentadactyla (Chinese pangolin)
Lineage: Eukaryota; Metazoa; Chordata; Mammalia; Pholidota; Manidae
Exons: 4
Source: RefSeq, a predicted model, not a curated record
CUGAGAGAGACCGUGGGCCAGGCCCUGGUUAAAAGGGUCUGGGGCGUCUGGACCUGCGCUGGUAAUGACAGUGGUCUCCACCCGUGAGCACCUCACCCUUCACCCAGAUCCCCAACACUUGUGCCCAAGGGGAAACUUUAUUGCCUAGAAGGAUGCAGAGAAGGGAGCAGUGACCCACCAUCCCCGUCUGAGCCUCCCCGACAGUGGGAAGGCAGAAGACAGGCCAGGUGGUAGAGGGCCUUACUGUGGAGCUGGCUUCCCGGGCGGAGAGAAGGGCAGUGGUCUCUCACCUUCAGGGGCAGACAAGACGAUCUCACUGAACGGCCCGCUCCCCAGCCUGUUCUGAGCUAGGACGCUGAACUGGUACUGGGUGUGGGGCUGCAGCCCGGGCACUAGGAGACAGAGGCAGCACAGUGGGUAUCUUACUCUGUGGAUGUGGUGUGUGCCUCAGGUCCCACCUCCCAGCACCAUCUCUGCAAAAAACCGUGGGAUGGGGUCUGACAGCCACUGCUGUGGCCACCGUGGGAAACUCCGAC